CGCCCUGUACACGGGCCUGGCCGACGUGUAUCUGCCCGAGGCGCAGAUGGGGGCGCUGCUGGCCCUGUUCGAGUCCACGCCGGGCGA
This 87-nucleotide transfer RNA is filed under the name Janthinobacterium sp. HH100. RNAcentral's name for it is "tRNA-Leu". RNAcentral also lists the same sequence under 2 other names. Lineage: Bacteria; Pseudomonadati; Pseudomonadota; Betaproteobacteria; Burkholderiales; Oxalobacteraceae. The record is from RNAcentral.